GUUGGCCUCCAGGUGGCCGCGGUCUACCGGAGAGCCCAAGAUGGCCGCCGAUGAGGUCGUGGCGGCGUCCGUUGUCGCCAAGAUGGCCGACGUCGACGUCGCGGCGGUGUCUGUUGGCCCCAAGAGGGCUGCCGUCGACGUCACGGUGGUGUCCGUUGCCCCCAAGAUGGCCGCUGAUGAUGUUGCGGUGCUCUCCAGCCCCUCAUUGGCUGGCCUCGGCUCCAAGAUGGCCGCCGCGGAGGCUGCACCAUCCUCAUUGGUCUCCGUUGGCCUCCCAUUGGCUCCUGGCUCCUCAUCGGCCUCCGGUGACCUCCCGGCGGCCUCCGCUGACCCUAAAUUGGCCUCCGUUGACCCCUCGUUGGCCUCUGUCGACCUCCCGCUGGCCUCCAUCGACCUCACGUUGGCCGCCGUUGACCCCGAGGUGGCCACCGUCGACUUCCUGUCCCUUCCUGCCACCUCAUUGGCUGCCGUUGACCCUAAACUGGCCGCCGUUGGCCUCACCUUGGCCUCCGCUGGCCCCUCGUUGGCCUCCGUCGACCUCCUGCCAGCCUCCGUCGACCUCCCGCCGGCCUCCGUUGACCUCACGUUGGCCGCCGUUGACCUCACGUUGGCCGCCAUUGACCCCAAGAUGGCCGCUGUCGACUUCCUGCCUCCUCCCGCCUCCUCAUUGGCCGCCGUUGACCCCGUACUGGCCUCUGCUGACCCCUCGUUGGCCUCCGUUGACCCUAAAUUGGCCUCCGUCGACCUCCUGAUGGCCUCCGUUGACCUCACGUUGGCCGCCGUUGACCCCAAGAUGGCCGCCGUUGACUUCCUGUCCCCUCCUGGCUCCUCAUUGGCCGCCGUUGACCCCUCGUUGGCCUCCGCUGACCCCUCGUUGGCCUCCGUCGACCUCCCGCCGGCCUCCGUUGACCUCACGUUGGCCGCCGUUGACCCCAAGAUGGCCGCCGUUGACCCCAAGAUGGCCGCCGUCCACUUCCUGUCCCCUCCCGGCUCCUCAUUGGCCGCCGCCGACCCCCCGCGGGCCUCCGCUGACCUCACCUUGACCUCCGCCGACCUCGCCUCGGCCUCCGCCGACCUCCCGCCGGCCUCCGGCGACCCCAAGAUGGCCGCCGCCGCCCCCCGGCAGCCUCCCAGCUCCUCAUUGGCCGGCUCCGCCGACCCCCCGCAGCAUCGCGGCCCCUCAUUGGCCGCCGCCUCCUCCUCCUCCGGCCUCCCGCGGCCUCCCGGGGCCUCGCCGGCCUCCCCUGCCCGGGCCGGAGCCCCCUGAUUGGGCGCCGCCCGCGGCCCCGCCGCCACCCCAUUGGCCAGCGGCCUCCGCGGGGGGCCGGCGGCCAUCUUGGGCC
RNAcentral lists this long non-coding RNA (1343 nucleotides) under Anser cygnoides (Swan goose). RNAcentral describes it as "lncRNA (ENSACDG00005007165.1)". The record is from RNAcentral. Lineage: Eukaryota; Metazoa; Chordata; Aves; Anseriformes; Anatidae.